GACCUGGUGGUGGAGUUGGUACCACGCCUGCUCUCCGUAUGUGAGAAUGAGCCAAUUUCUGAGCAGGAGGUCCUCGUUCAAUUCGGGGCCAGGUCA
Molecule: non-coding RNA, 96 nt
Organism: Mycena vulgaris
Lineage: Eukaryota; Fungi; Basidiomycota; Agaricomycetes; Agaricales; Mycenaceae
Source: the annotation of a GenBank genome assembly